CAGUAGCCGCGGGAAUACAGAGGGUGCGAGCGUUAAUCGGAUUUACUGGGCGUAAAGCGUGCGUAGGCGGCUUUUUAAGUCGGAUGUGAAAUCCCUUAGCUUAACUUAGGAAUUGCAUUCGAUACUGGGAAGCUAGAGUAUGGGAGAGGAUGGUAGAAUUCCAGGUGUAGCGGUGAAAUGCGUAGAGAUCUGGAGGAAUACCGAUGGCGAAGGCAGCCAUCUGGCCUAAUACUGACGCUGAGGUACGAAAGCAUGGGGAGCAAACAGGAUUAGAUACCCGCGUAGUCCCUGUCUCUUAUAC
Molecule: ribosomal RNA, 301 nt
Filed under: uncultured bacterium
Lineage: Bacteria
Description: partial 16S ribosomal RNA
Rfam family: Bacterial small subunit ribosomal RNA
Source: RNAcentral